AAAGAUUAAGCCAUGCAUGUCUAAGUAUAAGCAAUUAUACCGUGAAACUGCGAAUGGCUCAUUAAAUCAGUUAUCGUUUAUUUGAUAGUACCUUACUACUUGGAUAACCGUGGUAAUUCUAGAGCUAAUACAUGCUGAAAACCCCAACUUCGGGAGGGGUGUAUUUAUUAGAUAAAAAACCAACGCCCUUCGGGGCUUCUUGGUGAUUCAUGAUAACUUCACGGAUCGCAUGGCCUUGCGCCGGCGACGGUUCAUUCAAAUUUCUGCCCUAUCAACUUUCGAUGGUAAGGUAUUGGCUUACCAUGGUUUCAACGGGUAACGGGGAAU
Molecule: ribosomal RNA, 327 nt
Filed under: uncultured fungus
Lineage: Eukaryota; Fungi
Description: SSU rRNA
Rfam family: Eukaryotic small subunit ribosomal RNA
Source: RNAcentral